RNAcentral lists this ribosomal RNA (439 nucleotides) under uncultured bacterium. RNAcentral describes it as "bacterial SSU rRNA". It matches the Rfam family "Bacterial small subunit ribosomal RNA", at positions 339 to 796 of the family's 1533-position model. The record is from RNAcentral.
CUACGGGAGGCAGCAGUGAGGAAUAUUGCUCAAUGGGGGAAACCCUGAAGCAGCAACGCCGCGUGAAGGACGAAGUAUUUCGGUAUGUAAACUUCGAAAGAAUAGGAAGAAUAAAUGACGGUACUAUUUAAAGCUCCGGCUAACUACGUGCCAGCAGCCGCGGUAAUACGUAGGGAGCAAGCGUUGUUCGGAUUUACUGGGCGUAAAGGGCGCGUAGGCGGCGCGGUAAGUCACUUGUGAAAUCUCUGAGCUUAACUCAGAACGGCCAAGUGAUACUGCAGUGCUAGAGUGCAGAAAGGGCAAUCGGAAUUCUUGGUGUAGCGGUGAAAUGCGUAGAUAUCAAGAGGAACACCUGAGGCGAAGGCGGGUUGCUAGGCUGACACUGACGCUGAGGCGCGAAAGCCAGGGGAGCAAACGGGAUUAGAAACCCCAGUAGUCC